Prosopis cineraria is the source of this 1842-nucleotide long non-coding RNA. RefSeq lists it as uncharacterized. Lineage: Eukaryota; Viridiplantae; Streptophyta; Magnoliopsida; Fabales; Fabaceae. The transcript has 3 exons. The record is from RefSeq and is a predicted model, not a curated record.
CCCCUUUCUCACGUUUCUCUCCUCGAAAUCCCAUUAUAUAUAUAUAUCCUCCUUCCUGUCCCUUUAUUUUCAUCACCAAAUCUCUCUUUCAGUUUCUACUUCCAUUUUCUUGCCAGGCUUCACCAAAAAUGAACCCAAUUAAGACACGUUCUCUGGAAGUCACCGUCAUAUUCGGCCACAACCUCUGUAUCGGUCAAAAUCCGGUGACGGAGGACAUGCAUGUCGUGGUCCGGACGGAGUCGUUAAACUGUUGGACCACGAAAAUGGCGAAGCAAGCAGGUGAUGGCUCAGGUUCAGGGUACUGUGCUAUAUGGAACGACAAGUUGAUGGUGGAGGCGCCAUUACAUGCAAAGUCUAUUAUGUUCGAAGUUGAGUGUAAGACGUCGAAAGGCGUGGUUCGAUCCAUUGGGCUGGCGAGAAUAGCGAUUUCGGACGUUCUACCAAACGAAGAGGGAUGUUUGUCAGAGGUGUUGAGUUACAGGUUGAGGAACUGGGAGGGAAGGAGAAGUGGGGUCAUCAGUUUCUCAGUGAAGACGAAGAAGCAUGAAGAUGACGGUUCAAUGUGGUCGGGGUCUGGGGGCAUCCAUCAUCACAUGGAUGUUCAAAAUAAGGGACUCGUUUUGGGGAUUCCUGUUUGGUGGAAUCAUCUUCGCAUACAUGUUUGAGAAAUUCAACACACACGCGCGCGCUCUUUCGUUGAUUAACAUGAAGUAACCGUUGAUAGUGGUGUUUAAAAUUAAAAAAAAAAGUACAAACGAUAUUAUUUCUUAGGAUAAUACUUGCUUUCAUUAUUUAUGUUUACAAUAUGUAAGAAUAAUGAUGGAGAAAACAGACCUGCACUCUUUGAAGGUCUUGCAUUAUAUAUUAUUUAUGAAAAAUCUUAUCCGUGUAUAAUUUAAAUUUCGAAAACCAUAUCACUGUACAAGCUUUUUAUUAACACCGACUAAUUAAGAGCCCUUUUAUCUUUGAUCCAGUGUCGAACUUGGCUUCUCACCAAACCAAUCUGGAUUAGUCUUUUCCGUUCAGUUGCAAUUCCAUCCCUCUAAACCUCCACUAUAUCGAGUCCCUUAUUUAUUUAUUUUUUUGGCGUGUGGAUUUGAGUUGGAGCAACCAAACCUCUUCAUAAUUUCGACGACACGUUCCGUCUCACAACGAUCAAACGUCGCCAGAGUUCUCCUAAUUCAACGUUGCUGUAUCAUUAUCGGCUCAAUCUUUCAGCCAUCAUGGCUGGGUUAGCAGCAACGUCUUCUUCCUUCCACUACCAAUGGGCUUAUGAUGUCUUUAUCAAUUUUAGAUGUGAAGAUACUCAUUAUGGUUUUACAGGAAAUUUGUAUCAUUCUCUAAGUCAAAAGGGAAUUCUCACCUUCCUUGAUGAUGAGGAACCAAGAAGAGGUGAUGAAAUUACCCCAGCACUUCUCACAACAAUUGAAAAUUUGAGGAUGGCCGUUAUUGUAUUUUCUAAGAACUAUGGUUCCUCAUCAUUUUGUCCCAAUGAGCUUCUUAAGAUCUUUCAGUGAAUUAAGAGAAACAGUCGGUUGGUUUUGCCAAUUUUUUAUGAUGUGGAGCUUUCAGAAGUAUGGCAUCAAAAGGAAAAUUAUGAACAAGCACUACCAAUGCAUAAGAAAAGCCUCAGGGCUGAUGAGGAGAAGAGACCAAGUCGGAAAUUUGCAUUGCAUGAAGUGUCUAACAUUUCUGGCUUCCAUUUUGAUCCAAGAAAAACCAAUUACAGGCCCUUAGUUGCUGAUAAUUUUGAAAGCAUGUACUUUCUUCAUGACAUCAAAGAAAACUCAAGCAAAAUUGGCCUACAAAAAAUGCAAGAGAGAAUGAUUUCCAAGAUUAUAG